AUUGAACGCUGGCGGCAGGCCUAACACAUGUAAGUCGAGCGGAGCGGCGGACGGGUGGGUAAUGCCUAGGAAUCUGCCUGGUAGUGGGGGAUACAGUCAGGAAAGGGGAGCUAUUACCGCAUAAUAACAGAUGAGCAUAGGUCGGAUUAGCUAGUUGGUGGGGUAAAGGCCUACCAAGGCGACGAUCCGUAGCUGGUCUGAGAGGAUGAUCAGUCACACGGGAACUGAGACACGGCCCAGACUCCUACGGGAGGCAGCAGUGGGGAAUAUUGGGCAAUGGGCGAAAGCCUGAUCCAGCCAUGCCGCGUGUGUGAAGAAGGUCUUCGGAUUGUAAAGCACUUUAAGUUGGGAGGCGUUACCUACAGAAUAAGCACCGGCUAACUUCGUGCCAGCAGCCGCGGUAAUAC
This 407-nucleotide ribosomal RNA is filed under the name uncultured bacterium. RNAcentral describes it as "partial 16S ribosomal RNA". It matches the Rfam family "Bacterial small subunit ribosomal RNA", at positions 30 to 526 of the family's 1533-position model. The record is from RNAcentral.